UACGAAGGGGCUAGCGUUGCUCGGAAUCACUGGGCGUAAAGCGCACGGUAGGCGGCUUACUAAGUCAGGGGUGAAAUCCUGGAGCUCAACUCCAGAACUGCCUUUGAUACUGGUGAGCUUGAGUCCGGAAGAGGUGAGUGGAACUGCGAGUGUAGAGGUGAAAUUCGUAGAUAUCGUAAGGAAGACCAGUGGCGAAGGCGGGUCUCUGGACAGUUCCUGACGCUGAGGCACGAAGGUCAGGGGAGGCG
RNAcentral lists this ribosomal RNA (248 nucleotides) under uncultured bacterium. Its description in RNAcentral is "partial 16S ribosomal RNA". It matches the Rfam family "Bacterial small subunit ribosomal RNA", at positions 524 to 771 of the family's 1533-position model. The record is from RNAcentral.